RNAcentral lists this ribosomal RNA (253 nucleotides) under uncultured bacterium. RNAcentral's name for it is "partial 16S ribosomal RNA". It matches the Rfam family "Bacterial small subunit ribosomal RNA", at positions 524 to 776 of the family's 1533-position model. The record is from RNAcentral.
UACGGAGGGGGCUAGCGUUGUUCGGAAUUACUGGGCGUAAAGCGCGCGUAGGCGGACCUGCAAGUCGGGGGUGAAAGCCCGAGGCUCAACCUCGGAACUGCCUUCGAUACUGCGGGUCUCGAGUCCGGGAGAGGUGAGUGGAAUUCCUAGUGUAGAGGUGAAAUUCGUAGAUAUUAGGAAGAACACCAGUGGCGAAGGCGGCUCACUGGCCCGGUACUGACGCCGAGGCGCGAAAGCGUGGGGAGCGAACGGG